UACGUAGGGGGCUAGCGUUGUCCGGAUUUAUUGGGCGUAAAGAGCGUGUAGGCGGCCAGGUUAGGUCUGCUGUGAAAACUUCGAGGCUUAAACCUCGAAGAUGUCGGUGGAAACCAUCUGGCUAGAGUCCGGAAGAGGAGAGUGGAAUUCCUGGUGUAAGCGGUAGAAAUGCGACAGAUAUCAGGAAGAACACCCGUGGCGAAGGCGGCUCUCUGGGACGGUACUGACGCUG
RNAcentral lists this ribosomal RNA (232 nucleotides) under uncultured bacterium. RNAcentral's name for it is "partial 16S ribosomal RNA". It matches the Rfam family "Bacterial small subunit ribosomal RNA", at positions 524 to 748 of the family's 1533-position model. The record is from RNAcentral.